RNAcentral lists this ribosomal RNA (497 nucleotides) under uncultured bacterium. RNAcentral's name for it is "partial 16S ribosomal RNA". It matches the Rfam family "Bacterial small subunit ribosomal RNA", at positions 28 to 507 of the family's 1533-position model. The record is from RNAcentral.
GACGAACGCUGGCGGCGUGCCUAAUACAUGCAAGUUGAGCGAUGAAGAUUGGUGCUUGCACCAAUUUGAAGAGCAGCGAACGGGUGAGUAACGCGUGGGGAAUCUGCCUUUGAGCGGGGGACAACAUUUGGAAACGAAUGCUAAUACCGCAUAACAACUUUAAACAUAAGUUUUAUGUUUGAAAGAUGCAAUUGCAUCACUCAAAGAUGAUCCCGCGUUGUAUUAGCUAGUUGGUGAGGUAAAGGCUCACCAAGGCGAUGAUACAUAGCCGACCUGAGAGGGUGAUCGGCCACAUUGGGACUGAGACACGGCCCAAACUCCUACGGGAAGGAGCCGGAGGGAAACUUCGGCAAGGGGCGGAAGUCUGACCGAGAAACGCCGCGGGCGUGAAGAAGGUCUUCGGGUCGUAAAACUCUGUUGGUAGGGAAGAAAGUUGGUGAGAGUGGAAAGCUGCUCAAGUGACGGUAACGACCCAAAAAGCAACGGCUAACUACGUG